GACAGAGGGUGCAAACGUUGUUCGGAAUUACUGGGCGUAAAGCGAGUGUAGGCGGUCUUGAAAGUCGGAUGUGAAAGCCCUGGGCUCAACCCAGGAAGUGCAUUCGAUACUCCAAGGCUAGAGUACUGGAGAGGUGGGUGGAAUUCUCGGUGUAGAGGUGAAAUUCGUAGAUAUCGAGAGGAACACCGUCGGCGAAGGCGGCCCACUGGACAGAUACUGACGCUGAGGAGCGAAAGCCAGGGGAGCAAACGGG
RNAcentral lists this ribosomal RNA (253 nucleotides) under uncultured bacterium. Its description in RNAcentral is "partial 16S ribosomal RNA". It matches the Rfam family "Bacterial small subunit ribosomal RNA", at positions 524 to 776 of the family's 1533-position model. The record is from RNAcentral.